RNAcentral lists this ribosomal RNA (429 nucleotides) under uncultured Glomeromycotina. RNAcentral describes it as "SSU rRNA". It matches the Rfam family "Eukaryotic small subunit ribosomal RNA", at positions 666 to 1092 of the family's 1831-position model. The record is from RNAcentral. Lineage: Eukaryota; Fungi; Glomeromycota.
GCACUGGUAUGCACUGGCUUCGCUGAUUCCCUCCUUUCUGAAGAACUGUAAUGCCAUUAAUUUGGUGUUGCAGGGAAACAGGACUGUUACUUUGAAAAAAUUAGAGUAGUUUAAAGCAGGCUAACGCUUGAAUACAUUAGCAUGGAAUAAUGAAAUAGGACGUUUGAUCCUAUUUUGUUGGUUUCUAGGAUUGACGUAAUGAUUAAUAGGGAUAGUUGGGGGCAUUAGUAUUCAAUUGUCAGAGGUGAAAUUCUUGGAUUUAUUGAAGACUGACUACUGCGAAAGCAUUUGCCAAGGAUGUUUUCAUUAAUCAAGAACGAAAGUUAGGGGAUCGAAGACGAUCAGAUACCGUCGUAGUCUUAACCAUAAACUAUGCCGACUAGGGAUCGGAUGAUGUUAAUUUUUUAAUGACUCAUUCGGCGCCUUACG